AAGUCGUAACAAGGUUUCCGUAGGUGAACCUGCGGAAGGAUCAUUACCUAGAGUUGUAGGCUUUGCCUGCUAUCUCUUACCCAUGUCUUUAAGUACCUUACGUUUCCUCGGCGUCCGGUCCCCGGCCCGCAUUGGACAAUUUGAAACCAAUUUGCAAGUCGUCAACUCAGCGUCUGAAAAAACUUAAUAGUUAACAA
Molecule: unclassified non-coding RNA, 197 nt
Filed under: plant metagenome
Description: partial contains small subunit ribosomal RNA and internal transcribed spacer 1
Rfam family: Eukaryotic small subunit ribosomal RNA (bases 1-46)
Source: RNAcentral